UCUUUUUAAGCUAAAAUCUUUUUUCUUUCUUUCUCUUAAAGAGAGUUUAAAGUAAAGGGGGUUGAGGGCAAAUUUCUUCUAUUUUGGAUUUAAAAAGAGACCACUAAAAAGGAAUAUCCGAGAAGGAGUUGAAAAAUUACAAAGUCUAGGAAGUUCACUUCAGAGAAAAACGAUAAGAAAACCGUUAAAGAUUUCUAGUUAGAAAUUUUUAGAGCAAAAACAAAAUAUCUAAAUUGAUUUAAGCCAAAUGUAGUUCAAUAGACACAGUAUAUAUACUAAGGAGAAAAGGGAGAACUAAUUUAGGUGUUGGUUUCCAUAUUCUGUUCGAAUUUUCCGGAUCGCUGCUCGAGUCAGAGUUUCUUUGGUAGUCGUGGAAGUUCUUCUAGCUCGUCAUUGUCCCACUUCGCUUCACCAAGAGGAGGUUUGAUCUCUGAAUAUCUAAGUUGGAAUAAACCUUGAUAGGAGGAGGCAUUUUGGGUUCCACAAAAUCGUUCCCUUUGUGAUUAUUCUUCUCGUUUUGUCCAUUUCCUAUAGCCUGCACAAACUGCGUAUCCUUCUCAUGCUCAUUUUGAUUAACUAGAACAUUACAAGGAACAUUAGUAUGAUCAUUAUGAGUUAUCAUGCUAGGGACUGACUUACUUGUAGUGUUAUUGUUGGCCUAUGGUGUACAAUCCUUAGCAUAGUCUUGUCUACUUUGAUUUUCCAAUUUAUUUUAUGGUUUAUGAUAGUUUGAUUUUUUUCUCUUCA
This is a long non-coding RNA of Solanum lycopersicum (tomato), 747 nucleotides long. RefSeq lists it as uncharacterized. Lineage: Eukaryota; Viridiplantae; Streptophyta; Magnoliopsida; Solanales; Solanaceae. The record is from RefSeq and is a predicted model, not a curated record.